GGAAAGCAAAUUAACAAGGGUUUUUUUUAGGAACCGUGUGACAACCAAAUAUAUGUUGCUUAUAAAUCCCAGCGCCCCAUUCUAUUUCAUUAGAGCUGGAAGAAUGGAUUCACAAGUGGAGGAGACCAGCUCCUUCCGCAGAGCGUACCAGCCUCGGCGUGUGAUUUGGUUGUUUACGAGGUGUUCACGUUUUGAAAAUACCGCACUAACUUAAAAACAAAACCUGACUCUCUCCCCUGCCGCUGUGCCAAAGCGAGGCACUGAACCUGACAGCCGUCUUGGCUUCCUUCCCUUGCACUUGACUCUGAGGGAAACCUGCCCCUGGAAAUACUUGUCCGUAAUUUAUCUUUACGAAGGCCUUUGUCUGUCGGUGCUGUCGGAAGAGACCCGUUUCUGUCACUUGGGUUUUGUAGGUGAGUCUGUCAGAUGGGCCCAGACGGUUCCCGCCUCGUGGCUUAUGUGACGUCAGCAUCUGGGUUUGCCGCAGGCCUGGGGGGUGGGGGGGUAAGCACUGUCUGCGGCCAUCAGCCAGGACAAGCUCUAGGUGUGGUGUGUGGACACGAUGCCACCCUGGACGCUAAGUGACCCAGAGGAAGACACGGGAACACCUGAGUCAGUUGGGCAGAGUGACUGAUGCAUGUUCUAACUUUGAGAUGCGGGUUACUUUUUUCUUAAUUUGUUUUAAGUUUAUUUCUUUUUGAGAGCAGGGGAGGGACAGAGACAGAGGGAGACACAGAAUCCGAAACCGGCUCCAGGCUCUGAGCUGUCAGCACAGAGCCCGACGCGGGGCUCGAACUCAUGAACCGUGAGAUCAUGACCUGAGCUGAAGUCGGACGUUAACCGACUGAGCCACCCAGGCGUCCCUGUGGGUUACUUUUAGUAAGAGCCUUUCACUUGACCUUCCUGCCGGACACCUGUUUGCUGAUGCUUCAGUCACCGUCUUGAAUCUAUCUUUAGAACUCCCCCCCUGCCUUUUGGUUCCGGUGUUAGUCACAGGAUCUGUUCUCAUGCUAUUGUCCCGAGGACAGAAGAGAUCGGGAUCUUUCCCGUCCCCAGGUGUGAACGCACGUCAGGCUUGGAUGUCGUGUCGCAUGUGUAUGUGCGCUCCCAUGUGUUAGGGAAAAGGGCCUUUUACGCGGUAGGACGGAAAGGGAGAGAGGUGCAGUGUGAAUAUCAAACCAGCAUCCGGAUAAAUUGCACUGGGCGGGGGGGGUUGUCUGCGGUCACCCCCGAGACAGGUCACUUUAAGCCCGAGAAGCUUCCCCCUUAAUGACGGGACUUGCAUGUGCGUCCUGUGCAGCCCUCGAUUUCACGUCCAGUGUUGACGGUGGGUGCGGCUUUGAGUUUGAGUUUGAGUCAGACCUGGGCUUGAGGCCUGGCUCUGCCAUUUAUUAGUUUGUCCCAAGGCAGUCAGUCGGUGGAUCUUGGGACCUUCGCUUCCUAGCGUGCAGAAAGGGGAUUAAGCAUAUUUGCUUCAGGAAUAAGCAGGGCCCUGGUCCCCGGGUCCUGGCUCUGACUGUGGCCGCUCACCCUGGGGUGGGGGCGGCCUCCGGGCCUGGCUCCAGGCUCCUGCACGCAGCCUUUCCCCCCACGAGUUCCUACAACCCGGCUAAUCACUUACUUGUGGUUCUGCUCUCAGUGUAUCCGGGACAAGGGCGGAGUCGGUCCCUGGCGGGGAGCGGUGACCUCAGCCUGAGCACGGAGGGCAGCCCCGUCACAUCAGGAGUGAGGUGCUUAGUUUGCCGACGACCGGGUUGCUAGGUGAGAGCGAGUGUCUGCUAAAUAGAUUUGUCACAUGUUGACUGUUCCAUUAGUGACAUCAGAUGUUUCCUCUGAGCUUCUGGAACACAGGAGGGUGGGAAGUGCGCGAUGGCCGAAGCAGGCCGGGAGAACAGCGGCUGUAAAUGCGGCUCAUGGCCGGGCCCAGGGCUCCAGCAGUGGUCCUCGCGUGGAUUCGUCCCGAUGGCACUUGGCGCUUUCUUGUCAGCUUCCAUUAUUUCCCUUUGGAUGGGCACUGUGGGAGGGGGGGGNNNNNNNNNNNNNNNNNNNNNNNNNNNNNNNNNNNNNNNNNNNNNNNNNNNNNNNNNNNNNNNNNNNNNNNNNNNNNNNNNNNNNNNNNNNNNNNNNNNNNNNNNNNNNNNNNNNNNNNNNNNNNNNNNNNNNNNNNNNNNNNNNNNNNNNNNNNNNNNNNNNNNNNNNNNNNNNNNNNNNNNNNNNNNNNNNNNNNNNNNNNNNNNNNNNNNNNNNNNNNNNNNNNNNNNNNNNNNNNNNNNNNNNNNNNNNNNNNNNNNNNNNNNNNNNNNNNNNNNNNNNNNNNNNNNNNNNNNNNNNNNNNNNNNNNNNNNNNNNNNNNNNNNNNNNNNNNNNNNNNNNNNNNNNNNNNNNNNNNNNNNNNNNNNNNNNNNNNNNNNNNNNNNNNNNNNNNNNNNNNNNNNNNNNNNNNNNNNNNNNNNNNNNNNNNNNNNNNNNNNNNNNNNNNNNNNNNNNNNNNNNNNNNNNNNNNNNNNNNNNNNNNNNNNNNNNNNNNNNNNNNNNNNNNNNNNNNNNNNNNNNNNNNNNNNNNNNNNNNNNNNNNNNNNNNNNNNNNNNNNNNNNNNNNNNNNNNNNNNNNNNNNNNNNNNCCCCCCCCGCCUCCCACCUGGACCCCUGCCAGAGCCCCCACUGGUCUCAGCCUGCAGCCCCCUCCCAGCCAGUCAGGCUCCACCUUCCAGCCAGCAGGAUUUUUCCGGAAUUACGGCCAUUUCUCCCCAGCGUGUGGUGGUUCUGCAAGCCUCUUGUCCUUGGGGGGAUUCAGGAAGCCCUCCGUGCACGCUCUGUCCACCAGCCCCAAACCCACAUGACUCUUCUCUGCCUGGGCCAUCUGUCCUCCCUCUGCGUCCUGUUUCCAGCUCUGCCUCCUCUCCUGGCCAGCCCAGGGGGCCUUCCUCCAGGCCACCUGGCCCUCGGUCUCCCCAGCAUCAGGCUGUCACCCUCCCGCAGGCCAGGGAGGCAGAGGAGGGUCUGCUGCAGGCACCCUGGCCAACUUGUCUUCAGGCCCAGCACCUGGUUCUGCUCAGUGACCAGGCACCCACAAGGUGUCCACUGUGUCAUUGAACAGGUGCUGCCCUCAGGGCAUUUCAGGACCCUUCGUGAGGCAACAGGGCCAUCGUCCAAUUUUAUUGCCUGUUUCUCAUUUGGGAGGGUGAUGUGUUUUUUUAAUAUGUUUUUAAUGUUUAUUUUUUUUUGAAAGCGAGAGAGAGAGAGAGCGUGAGCAGGGCAGGGGCAGAGAGAGAGAGGGAGACGCAGAAUCUGAAACAGGCUCCAGGCUCUGACCUGUCAGCACAGAGCCCGACGCGGGGGCUGAACCCAUGAACCACGAGACCGGGACCUGAGCGGAAGUUGGACGCUUAGCCGAAUGAGCCACCCAGGCGCCCUAGACAAUGUAUUUUUACAUUCUUCUCACAUAUCUUCUGUUUUAUCCCAGCCUGAACUAUAUUGUAUCUCCUGUGCUUUUAAGUUGCAAAUAGAAUUUCCAUACGUUGGCGCCUGGAAGUGUUCAGAGCGGUCUGUCUCAUGCUCACUCCCGCCGUGGCUGGUGCCCCAUAUAGAAGCAGAGCCUGGGGGACUGCGGUGUCCCCUGUAGGGAGCCACAGGCUUCGCCUGACUGCCACUUGUCCAAAAAAAAUUUUUUUUUCAUUUUCAAGUUUAACCCCCUUGAUUUUCCUUCCAUAAAAACGCUGCCUGGAAGCUCCAGCCGGACCCCAACGUUCUCUUUCCAGGUCCUUGGGUGGAUCUUCAGAGACUGAGUUCCUGAGCACAGCCUCCUUCCAGGGCUCAGGCGAGGAAGCUAUAGCUUGGACGGGACUUUGAAGGUGGACGGGCAGACGGCCCAGGUGGCCGUGUAGGCCCUGGCCCAAGUGUAGCACGCCCCACUGACCACCGCUGGUGGCAGCUUCCUGGGUGGGGGGUGGGACCAGGCAUGCUCCACAGAACUGCGGUGGCAGGGGCCAGUGGGGCCUCGCUGGCCUCGUCCCUCGUGACCAUUCCCCCAUCCCCCACUGCCCCCAGCCUCUCCCCCCACCCCCCUACCCCGAGCUGCUUUACCUAGAGCACCCCUAAGGGGUCAGGUGCUGGAACCUGCUGGGGGUCUCACCACUCACACGGUGGCCUGAUUCCCAUUCUGGCUGGAACAGAACGGCGAGGUGGACUGGCACCGCCUUCCGUCCCAGGCCUUAGGCCCUGCUGGCCUGCGGUGGUUCGGAAAAGACAUCUUAAAAUGGGGGCGCCGAGAGCUCUUCCAGCUGGAGAGACCAGAGGACUUCUGUCCUCUGACGUUGUCCCCGCGGAACAGAAAGUAGCCCUGACGGCCAGGAGGAGUAGGCCUGGUCCUUACAGCUCGGGGGCCUCCCGUGGAAUAUAAACACAGGGAAUAUCGGCGUCAGACAGGCCGCUAACGGAUCAUCAAGACGAAGACAAGACCCCUGGGUCAUCACUGAACACGGACGACCGCAUGAACGUCGUUCAGGCCACAGAAGGACCAAACCUCCCCGGCCCGGCUGCAGGAGCGCCGGCUGCUUCACCAGCCCCGGCUCCGGACAGGACCAGGCUCCCUCCCCUGUGGGUGAGGGUCACCCAGAACCCCCCUUCCUGCCAGCGGCCGGUCCGGAGCAGACCCCCGCCUCCUCAGGCCCCCCACACCCCGCAGGCCCUUUGGGUGCCUGGUCACUGGGCAGAACCAGGUGCUGGGGUCCUCUAGGCCCCAGGCGAUCGCCCCUCCAGCCUUGGUGGGGAGAACGCAAGAACGCAGAGAACGUGUAACAGGUUCCUGUGGCGGACUUCGUUACUUUUGACACGGCCAAGUGUUAACAAAGAUGGACUUCUUCCCCGAGGUCGGCAGGGGCCCCGUUUAAUCUUGGAGGACAGGGACGCACAUUCUUCUCUUCAGCAGGUGCUGUGAGUGGCGAGCAGAGAAUGAGCCAGGGGAUACCUGGCCGGGGCUUCUCUGCACACGAGCCCCACGCCUCCCUCCCCUACGGGUACAUUACGCCGCUUGCAAACUGCUUCUCUCACCAAGCCUGAGGGGCCUGCUAAGAAUCAGCAUCAUCAUCAAAUGCCAGCACCUCAUCUGGGAACCGGGGGACGCGGCUGGUCCUUCAUUGUGGGUGGAGCUUCCCAAGGUCACACCGCCGUUGAAGGGCACGGACCUGGCAAAUGUAACUUCCCACGGGCUCUUUCCAGCACGGGGCGCUGUCUGCUAGGGAAGCCCUUUUCACGUGGAAACAGCAGGUCACUGUCGCCACGGGACAGUCCAGGAACUGACGCUGAAGAUGAUAAUCCAGAGAUCCUGGCUGUCACUCUCCGUGGAUGAGGUGUGGGAGGCACACGAGGGAGCCUGCAGGGGGUAACGGAACAAGGACAGAAUCGGGGCAGAAGAACCAGCUCUCUCCCGGCCCCCCUGCUUUCUUGCUGUGCGCCUGUGGGGAAGUUACUUAGCUUCUCUGAGCUUUGUUUCCUCUUCUGCAAGGCGGGGAUAAUAGCCUGUGCCCGCCCACCUCAGAGAGUCAUGGAGAGAAAAGGAAGAUAAUGGCUGUAAAAGUGCUAAAUCACUAUCAGCUUUUUGCUACAACUGUUUUGCUACACAUUUUUGCUACCACUUUGAAGUAUCCGCGCCUGCCCCUCAAGGAGUUCACAAGCUGUUUCUUGUAAAGACCAGGCCUAUGCAGCAAUGAAAGAGACAGCAGAGGCUCAGUGCUAGAGAAGCAGCAUGGCAACCUGGGGCGGCUUCCUGGAGGAGGAGGAGUUUGAGCUGUGCCUUAAAGAAUGAGCGGAAACUGCAUGGAAGGCAGGGGAAUGGUGAGGGCUAAUUGCAGAAAGAUGGCUCGGGGCCAUAUCACGAAGGAUACUGGAUGCCAGGCUAAAGAACUUGGACCUAUUCCACAGGCACUAGGGAGCCAUUGAAUGUUUUUGAGGAGGGACAAGAUUGGUGUCCUUAGAGAUGUGAGUCUGGGGGCUGGUUUGGAGGAUGAUGGAGAUGGGAAGGGGCGGGAGGGAAGCACAGCAGUGGAGAGCUGAGGCGGUGAACUCAGGGUGUGCAGGGGGGAGGGUGGGGGGUGGCGGGCGCGGCUUCGGCACACCUGGGCGGGAGGGGCUCGGGAGGCAGGAGCGAUUCUCAGUUGCCCAGCAGGGGGCGUUUGUGCGAAAGGGGUUUGAGCCUUGAAAGCAGAGUCAAGUAAACGGGGCAAAAUGGAGUUAACUCAAGUGCGUCCGAUCCUUGAACCACGCAGGUUUGACCUGCACGGGUCUACGUAUUCAUCGGUGGCUUUUUCUCCAUCAGUACAGUACCGUAAACAUUAUUUUCUCUUGCCUGUGAUACAGUUUCUUCUCUCUAGCUCACUUUGCUGUGAGAACACGGUAUAUAACCAAUACGUAUCGAAUGUGUGUUGAUCAGCUUGUUUGCACUACCAGUCAGACUUCUGAUCAGCAGGAGUUACGCUUUGGGAGAGCCAGAAGUUACAGGCGAAGUUUCGACUGCGUGGCGGGAGGGCGGUUGUCCGCACGCCCGACCCCUCACCGUUCAGUGUCAGCCGCGCUUUCCAGGAGCCGUUCAGCGAGGCCCCGCUCCUCGUGACUGUGAAAUAACGCCGCUUCCGGGUCACGGCGCUGGGUCGCGAACAGUGAGAAGGUCACCGGCUCCUGAAUCGGGGACUCGUGGAAAAGGAAAUCAGAGCUUUCCGACUGAGAAGGAAAAGAAAUGUGUCGGAAAACUGACUUCUAGGCAAACUCUUGUUGGUACGAAGGUGUCCCCGACAGAAACCUCUCUCCAGGGAGCCGACGUCCCUGCCUUUCCACGGAGUCCCCCUGUGUUGGAGGGGCGUUGGCAGUUUGAUCAGCAGGCCCUGGGGCCCAACCGUGAACAAGACGGGCAAGUCCUCGCUUAGCAGAGGUCAUUCUAACUAUUUAUUUAUUUAUUUAUUUAUUUAAAAAAAAUUUUUUUUCAACGUUUAUUUAUUUUUGGGACAGAGAGAGACAGAGCAUGAACGGGGGAGGGGCAGAGAGAGAGGGAGACACAGAAUCGGAAACAGGCUCCAGGCUCUGAGCCAUCAGCCCAGAGCCUGACGCGGGGCUCGAACCCGCGGACCGCGAGAUCGUGACCUGGCUGAAGUCGGACGCUUAACCGACUGCGCCACCCAGGCGCCCCUAACGUUUAUUUAUUUUUGAGACAGAGACAGACAGAGCAUGAGCAGAGGAGGGUCAGAGAGAUGGAGACACAGAAUCUGAAACAGGCUCCAGGCUCUGAGCUGUCAGCACAGAGCCCAACGCGGGGCUCGAACUCACGGACCACAAGAUCAUGAGCUGAAGUUGGAUGCUAAACCGACUGAGCCACCCAGGCUCCCCAGCAGAGGUCAUCCUAAAGGGGAGAGAAAGGAACAACGCCAAGGACGGGGAGAAAUGCAGUGACGAGGCAGAGGGCAGGCACUGAAGGUCAUGAAGGAGGUGCCAUGAGGGCCAGAGCUGAGUGCGGCUGGGCAGGGGUGGGCGGGGCCAGUGGGCCAGAGAGGCCAGCCCUCAGGGUUGUGUCUGGACCCAUGCUCAGGAUCAGGGGGGCCCGUGAGCUGCUUGGGGCUUUGGAGGGCUGGCUGCGGGACACAGGUGAUUUCCUCGGGGGUCUGGAAAGAGCUGAUGCUCGCGCUACAUGGGCCCCUCCCCCACGUUGGCCCAGUUGAGACCAGAGCGGAGAGACUGUGAGGCUGAGUUACUGAGGCGGAGUCCCCUUGCAAGAAGGACCAUGAGCUUGCAAGGCCAGGGUGUGGGGGCUGCCCACUUUCUCGAUUUCCCUGGUCCCGACCGUUCAGUUCUUCCUUCCAUUCCACUGUCCUUCCUCUCUGUGCUACCGUUAGCCUGAGCUGUCUAGACAUGCCCUCUGAUGCCCGCAGCGCACAGCAUCCUCACCUAUAAAAAGGUCACUGUGGUUUCAGUAAGGGGCACAGAGAGAAGUGUCACCUGGAUGAUGGAAGGGGGUGGUCUGGAGAGAGAGAGGAGAUGCUUAGAAAUAGCGCAGACAGGACUUGGCGAGGGGAUGAGUGAGGAAGGGGGAGAGAGGCGUCAAGGAGGAUGCCCAGGUUUCUGGAAGAUUCUUUCGAGGCAGGGGCUCUGCGGGGGAGCAGGGCUCAGCAGAAUGAGGACCGUCGGUUUUAGAGACGUUGAACUGUCAUGCUGGCAGUUGAGGAUUAGGCUGGGCAGUGACACAGAACUGAGGGCCACCAGUGUGGAGAUGGGAGGGGUGCCCCAGCAGGUGGCCUGUGGACAGAGGGCAGCUGUCCUAGGUCAGCCCACAGGAACAGGCAGGGCACGGCAUUUCAGGAAAGCCAGGGAUGAGCACUGCACAAGGUCAUGGUGCUGAGACCUGGAGGAGGGGGAGGGGGGACACUGGGACUUCACAACUUGGGAGUGCAAGGUCACAGCUCGGCAGGGAGACCCAUGAGUGGGCCAGCCACGUAGACAAGUCUUUCAAGUAGGGAGAUGCGGGAGAGAAGAGAGGGCGGGAACUUCCGCGGAGUCGUUCGCCCAACUAAAGGUUAUUACUUUUUAUGGCUUUGUUCAUUCAUGCACGCAUUCGUUCACUCUGCCAAUAUUUACUGGGUGCUCACUGUGUGCCCAGCUGUUCUAGGUGCUGGGGACACUUCGCAGAAAAAGAUGGGCCAGUCCCUGCCAUCACGGACCAUAAAAUCCAGCGGGUGCUUGAGUUUUGUUGAGGUUGCAAUUUGUACCAUAAACACUCAAUUCAAUGAUUUUUAGCAAACGUACAGAGUUGGGCAACCACCACAAUCCAAUUUUAGAACGUCUCCGUCCCCCGCAAGACCCCCCAUGCCUGUUUACAGGAAGUCCCCAUUCCUACUCCCAGCCCCUGACAACCGCUACCCUGCUUUCUGUUUCUAUAGAUUGGUCUUUCUCGGGCAUUUCGUGUAAAUGGAAUCCUACAGCAUGUGAUGUUGUAUGUUUAGCUUCCUGUCCUUAGCAUGAUGUGUUUGAGGUGACAGGAUACCCCAGCGUUUCCCCCCUUUUGACUGCUGGGGUAGGGGUGGGUAGGGGUGGGUAGCUGAUGGCCCUGGAGUUGUUUUUACUUCGUAACCACUGUAACGGUUCGUAGCCAUUGUGAGUAACACCACUCACCGGCUCUGCAUAUCUGUGCACCGUCUUUAUGUGGACAAAGGUUUUCGUUUCCCCUGGGUAGAUAUCUAGGAGUAGAGUGGCUGAAUCACAGAUAAAUAAACUUUUUCGGAAGCUGCCAAACUGUUUUCCAAAGCAUAGCGCGCCAUUUAACGUCCCCGCCAGCGGUGCCUGUGGAUUUAUUUUUCUCCACGGCCGCGCCAAUACCGACUGUCUUUUACAAACCUUUUGUAAUGUUUAUUGAUUUUUGAGACAGAGAGAGGUAGAGCGUGAGCGGGGGAGGGGCAGAGAGAGAGGGAGACACAGAAUCCGAAGCAGGCUCCAGGCUCUGAGCCAUCAGCACAGAUCCCGAUGCGGGGCUCGAACUCACAAACCGCGAGAUCGUGACCUGAGCCGAAGUCGGACGCUUAACAGACUGAGCCACCCAGGCGCCCCUUGACAGUCCUUUUACAUCUGGCCAUCUUUGUGGCUGGGAAGUGAUGGGUCUCUGUGCCUUUGAUUUGCGUUUCCCUGAUGGCUAAGGAUGUUGACCUCCUUUUCAUGUGCUUAUGGAACCUUUGUAUGUCUUCUUGAGAGAACCUGCAGUAAAGAGCUGCAUUUUUCAGUUCUGGUAGGAGAUGGUGACUUGUCUCUAAUUCCGCGGUGGAAGGUUUCACUGACUCUUCCAUGAAGGCUUUACUGAUAGCUCUUGUCUACACUGGUCUCCCCUUUCUCUUAGAAUUUAAAGCAUAAGUCAGAUCGUAUCUGAGGCCUCAUGCCCUCCAAAGGAACUUCCCCUGGAUCUUAGAAUAAACUCACGCUCCUCACCCCUCUGGCCUCAUCUCCCACCGCCCUCCCAUUUCUGCCCCUGCUCGUUUCGCAGCAGCCUCUGAGUGUGCCACACUCUUCCCUGCCCCAGGGCCUUGGCACUGGCGGGCCUCUCUACCUGGAGUUCUCUUCCCCUCGCUCUUUGCAGGACUGGCUCCACGGUCUCUUUUCACCUUCUGUUUGCCUCAAAGCACUGAUCACCGGCUAGGACGAUCAGUCCUUAGUCAGGUGUUCGCUUGCUUUUUUCUUUUCUCCCCCUUGCAAAGCCUUUGCGAGGGCCACUCCGGCAUCCCCCCCGGCCCCGGCCCGGCGGCAGCAGGCAUGGGAUACGGGUCAGCUGGAUGACUGACCGAAGGGGACGCAGGUGUCUGCUCCUUUGUGACUGUCCUCACCCUCCAGCCGUGUGGCUCCCACUGCCCGGGCCUUUGCCAUCCAUCCCCAGGCGGAGACGAGGCACAGCUCGAGAUCAGGGUGACAUUCCAUCCUCUGUGUCCUCGACGGUCACUUGGUGAAGCGUUUUGGGACCGUGUUAGAGCAGCAGGUGCUGGGGGCACCGACAAACCAGAGCAAGACCAGACGGGGUCCAAGGAAUGGUUUAAAAGUUGAGGAAAGGUCCUCCCAAGAAAAGAUUUAAGGGCAACGUGAAGGAUUCGAAGGGCCGUAAGGUGAAGAAGAGUCCUAUGUAAUGGGCAGAGGGCAGAACGGGGAGCCGCGGGCGGAAGAAAUGAGGGGGUAGGUGCUGGUUUGGCAUAAGGGGGACCUUUCUGUUAGCACUGUCCAGCUCUGGAGUGGCUCAUCUUCUGAGGCAGCGAGCCCCCUGUCCCAGGGAGAGUCGCCCCUGGGUGUGGUGGAGGGGAUACACCAUGGAGAAGAAGGUUGGGACAGGUGGCUCGCUGGACCUUUCUGCCUCUGAGCCUCUAGGAAUCCCCUAAGCCGAAGGGUGCGUGCCGCACCGUGCCAGCGUCCUGAGGUGGCCUAGAAUUUUGAUCUGGUGCUUCUGAAAAAGGGGAAAGAGCCACUUUGGAGGGGGGGGGGGAGAAGGAGAGCAGCGUGCACGUGGCAUCCCCAGAACCGGCCAGCAGGGAGAGGAAGGGCUUCCCUCCAAGGCCCUGAGAGUGACUUUGCUGCUCGCUCGCUGAUUUGUGGGGCAUCCCUCUCCCCUAUAGCAGAUCUGCCCCACGAGGGCAGGGGCUUGUGUCAUUCACCAUGGCAUCCCCGGUGCCCAGGACAGUGUCCAGCGUCUGGUUGGUGCUCAAUAGACCUGAGUUCAAAGCCCAGUUCUGGAAGCCACCUCCCUGGGAGAAUCCCCGCCCACAUUGCUCUCGGUUCCUUGACCUCUGAGUCUGUUUUCCUUGUUUCCUCAGUGUGGGUGGUGACAGGAGGGUGACAGUCAUCCCUGCCGGCCAGGGGGUUGCUCUUCUGUUAUUCUUAGUAGGUCUUUGUUGCCGGGCCCCGCCUCCCCAUUCCCACCGUCCCCUGGGCAAGGGAAACUUUAAAAAGUUUCCAGGUCCCGCCCACCGACUCUUGGAGAAGGUCACCCUGGCUAGUGGAGCCAGAAUGUGGGCGAAGGUGAAGGCUGAGUCACGGCCACAAAAACUGAGGGGCGUGUCAUGGGGAUACGAUAUCCCAGUUCCGGCCAGGAGGAUGCUGUGUCUCACGCCCCAAGGCAAGGAAGCCCAAACAGAAAGGCUUUGAGAAAGAAAGGAAACAGGACUGUGAAUGGAAAAUUUCAACCGACCGCCACCCAGGAAUCCCCUUGGCCUGGGGUUGUCUUUGGAGCAUCAGUUGUCUUUGGAGCAUCAGUUCCCCACCGGCACGGGGCCCCCUGUCACUUGGCCUAGAGUGGCUUCCCCAUUUGUAAAUACAGGUGAGCCUCCAGGCAUCCCCCCACCCCCCAGCCAUCCUUGCUCCGCAGUGUUUAGUCCCAGGGCCGCAGCAAACGCUGUGCCCACUGUGCCCACAACCUGGCGUCUUCUUUCUCUCCCACCUCGACCCGCUGAAAUCCUGCCCCUUCCUGACGCCCAAUUAAAACACCAUGUCCUUAGGGCAUCCUACUCUUGCUUUCGGCUCAGGUCGAUCUCAUCUCAUAGUUCUGGGUCCGAGCCCCGCGUCGGGCUCUGUGCUGACAGCUCGGAGCCUGGAGCCUGCUUCGGAUUUCUGUGUCUCCCUCUCUCUCCGCUCUUCCCCUGCUCAUGCUCUGUCUCUGUCUGUCUCUCUCUCCAAAAUAAAUAAGACACUAAAAAUUAAAAAAAAAAUAAAUAAAAGAACAAGCUAAUUUAAAAAGAGACAACAUGCCCUUGAGGCUUCAAACCAUCUUCUGAUGCAGCAUCUGCCCCCCUCCUCUGCCUGCAGGUGACAUUUCAGGCCUCGGUGACCACGGCCUGGUGGUCAGCUGGGGUUGCACACUUCCCUCAUCACAGGCUCAACCUCUCCCACACUGGCUCAUCUUCUCUUUCUCCCCAGCUCGAAUGUGCUCCGGUGGCCUCGCCCAUUUUCAUGUAACUCUACACGUACUUACCCACAUGUCUCGUUGUCUCGUAGGUGCUUUUUCUGCCCCUCCGUCUCCAGGGUCCAAAAUGACUGCCCACUGAAAAAAUACAUUAGCGCCCCUUGGUAUUGAGCCAGACGAGCUGACAACUCGGGUCCACGCAAAAUCCUGCACCUGGACGCCCAUAGGACCUUUACUCCCCAUCGCCCAAACUUGGAAGCUACCAAGGUGUCCUUCGGGGGCUGAAUGGAUACACUGUUGUUGCACGGAACGGAAUUUUAUCAGAGAUAACAAGACGCGAGCUGCCGGGUCACAAAAAAGGCGUAGAGGCAACGUAAGCGCAUAAAAAAAUCUAUUCAUCGAGGCGCUUGGGUGGCUCAGUCUGUUGAGCGUGUCUGACUCUUGAUUUCCGCUCAGGUCAUGAUUUCACGGUUCAUGAGAUCAUGAGAGCAAGCCCCACAUCUGGCUCUGCACUGACAGCUCAGAGCCUGCUUGGGAUUCUCUCUCUUCCUUCCUUCCUUCCUUCCUUCCUUUCUUCCUUCCUUCCUUCCUUCCUGUCUUUCUUUCUUCUUCCCUUCCUUCCUUUCUUCCUCUAUUUCUUUCUUUCUUCCUCUCUUCCUUCCUUCCUUCCUUCCCUCUUUCCUUCCUUCCUUCCUCUCUUUCUCUUUCUUUCUUUCUUUCUCUCUCUCUCUCUCUCUCUCUGCCUUUCCCCUGCUCUCUCUCUGUCUCUCUCUCAAAAGUAAACAAAUCAACUUAAAAAAAAGUCUAUUCAGGGGCGCCUGGGUGGCUCAGUCGGUUGAGCAUAGGACUCCUGAUUUUGGCUCAGGUCAGCAUCUCCCGGCUCAUGGGUUCAAGCCCCACGCUGGGUGUUAGGCUUUGCGCUGAUAGUGGGGAACCUGCUGGGGAUUCUCUCUGCCCCUCCCCCGCUCUCUCUUAAAAUAAAUAAACUUUAAAAAAAAGGCUAUUCAUUAAGAAAAAAGAGGGGCAGCUGGGUGGCUCAGUCAGUUAAGUGUCGACUUCGGCUGAGGUCAUGAUCUCACAGUUCAAGCUUUCGAGUCCCACGUUGGGCUCUGUGCUGACAGCUCGGAGCCUGGAGCCUGCUUCCGAUUCUGUGUCUCCCUCGCUCUCUGCCCCUCCCCCAUUCAUGCCCUGUCUCUGUCUCUGUCUCUGUCUCUGUCUCUGUCUCUCUCUCGCUCCAGGGCCGUUGGCUGAAUUUCCUACCAUGCCCAGUGGGUGCAGUGAGAGGUUUCCACAUCUGCACUGAGAGGGUUUGGGCAGCAAACAGUUCCUGAGCCCAGGUUAGGGGGCUGCGGGCUGCGGGGCACUGAGAGGCCUGGGUUGGGCCUAAUGUGGGCAGGGCUCUCACACUCCCAAAGGCUGGGCAGAAAUGGCGGGUCCAGGUCCCAGCAUCACCCCCUCCCUUCCUUCAGCUAGGUUUGUCACUUCUCUGAACCUCGCUCUUCUCAUCUGUAAAUGGGGAGCACAAUUCCUGCCCCACAGUUGGGAGGGUUAGAUCCGUGCAUGUCUGGGCUGCUCCCUCCCAUUAGGCAUGGGCGUGACCCCUGCCCCUCAGGGCCCUUCUAUCUGGUUGGGAAGGGAAGGCCCACGGACUUUAAAAAAAAAAAUGUCACACCCGCAGUGUGACAAAUGAAGAUAGCAGGAGAGUUGCUGGAGACGACUUCUGUGUUCUCAGUGGUUUCCAAAGGGGGACAGGGCCAUGUGAGAGGUCUUCUGGAAGUGUCCAGAGGAGGGCCUCCGAGGAAGCGUGUGCUUGUCUGGGAAGGGACGUUAGCCAUCAGCCGGUGAGGAAUAGCCAGCAAGAGCCAAAACAAGGAAGUGGGAGAGAGUACCACAGAGCGAGUGUCCAGAAGCAGCCUCCGACAUCUGACAGGCUCCGAGGCCAGUGCUCAGGGAGGCCCCCAGACCAGGAACACUGGCCAGUGACACGACCCCUGCUCUUCCUGAGCCGUCUGUGCUGGGAGACCCAGCAGGGUCUGGGGAUGUGAAGGGCGUGGUUUGGGAGCCAGACAAGAGCUGCAUGACCUUGGACAAGUCACUUUACCCCUCGAACCUCAAUUUCCCCAAACGCAAAGUGGGGGUGGUUGUGAGUUGCAACAUAUACAGCACCGCCACGGGGCCUGUCACCACGGAAGGGGGUCAUUUGGGUGGCAGCCAUGAUUAUUAUUGGGGGCUGGGAGAAGCCAGGGCCGGUUGAACCCCUUGGGCCCUCCCCGGGUGCCCAGCCUGAGAUGCAUCCCCGCAGGUGCCCGGUGAAGGCUGACGGACCCACGACCGCACGAAUGGGGGAGCGGUGGCUCUGUCCCCAGGCCCGGCCCCGGGGAGGGCCUGUCUCUGGGUACCCUGUGGACCCAUAGCAGGAAGGCCGUGACCCGUAAUUAACCAAGGCCCGGCUGGGCGGGCGGCCAGGCUCUCCCUGGUGCCCACGUGAUACUCCGUCAGCCUCCGUGAGCACACAUGCCGCAAUCUGAAACCCAGCCACAGGCUGGAACCAGUUGCACAGAGAACCGAGUUGUCACAACAGGAAGGGCGUGUUUGGAGGCUGCCAGAGGGACAGUGGAGGGGGCCUGGGCCCUGUUCUCCCACACCCCAGGCCACCCAAGAGCUGCGAGGCCGCAGGUGCCUAGAACACGGCUACCGGGAGCGUGUCCUUGGCAGGGUGCUGGAUUCAGCCCUGGCCAGCCAUCCCUGACCUCGGCCUUCAAUUGUGAGGACUGUUCGCGCUUGAGGAAUCCGCGUGCCCUGCACCUCAGGCCAACAGCUCCACUCCCGCUGCCCUCACGACCUGCCCCUGCAACAUGUCCUCCCGAGGCCUGCUUAUCAUCUUGGAGGAUCUGCUCAAAUUCUGCCCUUCGCAGGAGCCUCCAGGGCCCCCAGGGCUUGCUUGGGCCCCUUGGGAGCCUUGUCCACAGCCCCCCACCCGGCAGGAGGCGCUCAGAUGUAGAUAACGUGUGUUCUUCAUUCAUGCCUUCCUUGGUCCCCGGUAUUAUGUGUCUGCUGUGUUAGAGGGAGAGGUGGCGUCAGUGUGGGUAAAGAACGUUGGAGAAGGAGCCAGGAGCCCCAAGUUUGGGAAGGAUCCGUGGCCCUGGGCCUUCCCUGGGCCUCUGCUUCCUCACCUUACAAGGAGUGUAGGACUCACCUGGCUGCCCUGUGGGGUCUUGGGGCUUUGAUGUUCUAUGGUCCCAGAUGCUGUCCCCAGUCUCCCCCCCCN
This 15671-nucleotide long non-coding RNA is filed under the name Lynx pardinus (Iberian lynx). Lineage: Eukaryota; Metazoa; Chordata; Mammalia; Carnivora; Felidae. The record is from RNAcentral.